GUGAAUCAUCGAAUUUUUGAACGCAAAUUGCACUCUCUUCGGAGAGUAUGCCUGUUUGAGGGUCAACCUAAAAAAAAAUCGACAUAGUCGCCGUUUUGCGGUGAUAUUCGUCGGAAAUUGGGUUAUCUUAAAUCUUUGGGUUUUAAGCGGCUUAAAAUUUUCUUUACGAUUUUCCGAACGAUUCUAAGAUUUACUUAUUAUACGCUUAAGGUAUCG
This 216-nucleotide unclassified non-coding RNA is filed under the name Glomus sp. RNAcentral describes it as "partial contains 5.8S ribosomal RNA and internal transcribed spacer 2". The stretch from base 1 to 65 matches the Rfam family "5.8S ribosomal RNA", at positions 84 to 154 of the family's 154-position model. Lineage: Eukaryota; Fungi; Glomeromycota; Glomeromycetes; Glomerales; Glomeraceae. The record is from RNAcentral.